GUAUUUAAUUUAAAGGCUAAAAGCCAUAUAAAAGACAUUCUAUGACAUACGAUGGGUGUAUAAAAACAUAGGCCUGGAUGUGUAAGAAGAGUCGAUGCCCUAGGGGUACCGACAAUUCUCUGACCAAACCAGAAGGCUUGAGAGUUAUCCAGGUCUACAAAAGGUGCACAGGUGGUAAAAUAAGGAAGAAGGCGUGCACAUGCUCCGAGAAGCCAGCACAACCUCCAACUUUAAUUCAAUAAUGAUCCUUCCGCAGGUUCACCUACGGAAA
RNAcentral lists this unclassified non-coding RNA (271 nucleotides) under uncultured fungus. Its description in RNAcentral is "sequence contains ITS1". Lineage: Eukaryota; Fungi. The record is from RNAcentral.